GUUCUUGUAGUAAAAUAAUUACAGUGGUUCUUCAGGCCAUUGAUCCCGGUUAGAGUCCGAGCAGGAAUU
Molecule: transfer RNA, 69 nt
Filed under: Rasbora argyrotaenia (silver rasbora)
Lineage: Eukaryota; Metazoa; Chordata; Actinopteri; Cypriniformes; Danionidae
Description: tRNA-Glu
Source: RNAcentral